Molecule: long non-coding RNA, 242 nt
Organism: Callorhinchus milii (elephant shark)
Lineage: Eukaryota; Metazoa; Chordata; Chondrichthyes; Chimaeriformes; Callorhinchidae
Exons: 3
Source: RefSeq, a predicted model, not a curated record
CACGCGCGGUGGUGGUGGUGGGGGGUGUCCCCUGAGCACGUGAUCCUGUCUGUUACCAGUGGAGCGGUGGAGCGGACCCAACAAAGGCUGGAGGUAGCUGAACGAAGGCAGUGGGUGGAGGGAACGGUCAGAAUGAAGAAUAACGUCUCGGAGCACUUCACAAUGACGGACGGGGUUGGAUGCAAAGCAACAAAGAAGGAAGAAGAGGAGUAGGAAAGGAGAAAGUAACAAUAGGCACUUCA